Molecule: long non-coding RNA, 425 nt
Filed under: Chinchilla lanigera (long-tailed chinchilla)
Lineage: Eukaryota; Metazoa; Chordata; Mammalia; Rodentia; Chinchillidae
Description: lncRNA (ENSCLAG00000027608.1)
Source: RNAcentral
AGCCCCGCCCUUGUCACGCCCUCCGCCCGGGUCCGCCGACCGAGUCCGGACCGCAGCUGGUCUUGGGCAGAACUCUGGGUGGCGCAGGAAGGAAGCGAGAGGAUUGCUGCCCUCUGGUCAGCAACCUUCCUGUUACCGGCUGGUUCUUUUAGAAAUGGCUCACCAAUCCAAUGCAAUCCAGGUCCUUCUUGCCUCCAACAAAGAAAUGGAUGAGACAAGCCAAAAACAGUCGCUAAAGUUUACUUGAAAAGUUAAGGGAGGGCUGGGGAUAUAGCUCAGUGGCAUAAGCACCUGCCUGGCAAGCACAAGGUCCUGAGUUUGAUUCCUGGUACCAAAAAAAAAAAAAAAAAGUUAAGGAAGAAACCAGUCCAGCAGAGCAAAUUUAGGCAGAACAAGAGGAAAAAAAACAUAAAAGCAAAGAUAAA